AGACCCGAAACCCGGUGAUCUAGCCAUGGGCAGGUUGAAGGUUGGGUAACACUAACUGGAGGACCGAACCGACUAAUGUUGAAAAAUUAGCGGAUGACCUGUGGCUGGGGGUGAAAGGCCAAUCAAACCGGGAGAUAGCUGGUUCUCCCCGAAAGCUAUUUAGGUAGCGCCUCGUGAAUUCAUCUCCGGGGGUAGAGCACUGUUUCGGCUAGGGGGCCAUCCCGGCUUACCAACCCGAUGCAAACUGCGAAUACCGGAGAAUGUUAUCACGGGAGACACACGGCGGGUGCUAACGUCCGUCGUGAAGAGGGAAACAACCCAGACCGCCAGCUAAGGUCCCAAAGUCAUGGUUAAGUGGGAAACGAUGUGGGAAGGCCCAGACAGCCAGGAUGUUGGCUUAGAAGCAGCCAUCAUUUAAAGAAAGCGUAAUAGCUCACUGGUCGAGUCGGCCUGCGCGGAAGAUGUAACGGGGCUAAACCAUGCACCGAAGCUGCGGCAGCGAACGUAUCACCCAAGACAACUUUACGGAGUUGACGAUUGACGGAGCGAAGCGACGUCAAAGCGUUCAUUAAAGUCGAGUUGGCUUAGGGAUACGUUCGUUGGGUAGGGGAGCGUUCUGUAAGCCUGUGAAGGUGUGUCGUGAGGCAUGCUGGAGGUAUCAGAAGUGCGAAUGCUGACAUAAGUAACGAUAAAGCGGGUGAAAAGCCCGCUCGCCGGAAGACCAAGGGUUCCUGUCCAACGUUAAUCGGGGCAGGGUGAGUCGACCCCUAAGGCGAGGCCGAAAGGCGUAGUCGAUGGGAAACGGGUUAAUAUUCCCGUACUUGGUGUUACUGCGAAGGGGGGACGGAGAAGGCUAUGUUGGCCGGGCGACGGUUGUCCCGGUUUAAGCGUGUAGGUGUGUGUUCCAGGUAAAUCCGGUUCACUUUAACACUGAGGCGUGACGACGAGGCACUACGGUGCUGAAGCAACAAAUGCCCUGCUUCCAGGAAAAGCCUCUAAGCAUCAGGUAACAUCAAAUCGUACCCCAAACCGACACAGGUGGUCAGGUAGAGAAUACCAAGGCGCUUGAGAGAACUCGGGUGAAGGAACUAGGCAAAAUGGUGCCGUAACUUCGGGAGAAGGCACGCUGACACGUAGGUGAAGUGAUUUACUCAUGGAGCUGAAGUCAGUCGAAGAUACCAGCUGGCUGCAACUGUUUAUUAAAAACACAGCACUGUGCAAACACGAAAGUGGACGUAUACGGUGUGACGCCUGCCCGGUGCCGGAAGGUUAAUUGAUGGGGUCAGCGCAAGCGAAGCUCCUGAUCGAAGCCCCGGUAAACGGCGGCCGUAACUAUAACGGUCCUAAGGUAGCGAAAUUCCUUGUCGGGUAAGUUCCGACCUGCACGAAUGGCGUAAUGAUGGCCAGGCUGUCUCCACCCGAGACUCAGUGAAAUUGAACUCGCUGUGAAGAUGCAGUGUACCCGCGGCAAGACGGAAAGACCCCGUGAACCUUUACUAUAGCUUGACACUGAACAUUGAGCCUUGAUGUGUAGGAUAGGUGGGAGGCUUUGAAGUGUGGACGCCAGUCUGCAUGGAGCCGACCUUGA
RNAcentral lists this ribosomal RNA (1588 nucleotides) under Salmonella enterica subsp. enterica serovar Typhimurium. RNAcentral's name for it is "partial 23S ribosomal RNA". It matches the Rfam family "Bacterial large subunit ribosomal RNA", at positions 711 to 2195 of the family's 2925-position model. Lineage: Bacteria; Pseudomonadati; Pseudomonadota; Gammaproteobacteria; Enterobacterales; Enterobacteriaceae. The record is from RNAcentral.